Molecule: long non-coding RNA, 10958 nt
Filed under: Homo sapiens (human)
Lineage: Eukaryota; Metazoa; Chordata; Mammalia; Primates; Hominidae
Description: HSALNT0143372
Source: RNAcentral
AAGGUUUACUGUCUGAAUCUCUUUUUUUUUUUUUAGAAUUUGGUAACAGAUUUGGAAUAUGAAUGUAGGGUUUUAAAAAUUCAUUUCGCUACAUUGUAUAAUAAAAAUAUCUGAAUCAUAGCAUUUAAAGGGAUCUUGAGCAGGCAAGUUCUCUCUGGCUGGACAGAUAUCUACCUAUCUCAGAGAAGUUGAGAACCACUGUCCUAGUCUGAAGGAACCUCUUGUGGAACAUUGGCAAGACCCUUACUGAGCAGAAGCCUAGCACCCUGAGCAUCCAGGAGAAGAAAAUAUUUGUGAUCUACGGGCUCAGUGAAGAAUUAUGGAGGACUUCAGGAUCUAGAAGGAAGCUUUGCAUGGAUUAGAUAAUUCAAUAAUAUUUAUCAAAUCAAAGUUGGGAGUCAAAAGAGAAUUUGGAAGCUUUGAUCAUCAGGAAAGAAGAUGGAGUUUAUUGACCCAAUGGAAGAGAAAAGCCACUUUUCUGUAAAGUGUAAGGCGUGGUAUCCAAGGCUACUCUCUGGAGACGACCAUAGGCUUCACCUGGGAGUUGUGAGAAAUGCAAACUCUCAACCCCAUCCCAGACCCUCUGAAUCAAAAGCUGCAUUUUAAAACAUGUCCUGUGCACAUUAAGCUUUAAGAGGCAUGGUUUUAGAGCACAGGCUUUGUAUCCCUGGAAUCAAAGUUCAAGUCUUUCACUUAUCAGCUAUACAAACUUAAGCAAGACAUGCGAAGUUUUUGAGACUCACUGUUUCUGUGAAACAGGCAUAUUCAUAUACACUACCUACUAGAGUUGUGAAGUUCAAAUGAACAAAAAAGAAUAUUGGACACAAGUCAUGGUGCCUGACUUUAUACAGUAAGAGUUUAAUUGUUUGAUGCUAUUAUUUUCUGAAAUUUCCAUCUCUUCAUUCAGGAAAAAAUGUUGGUUGGACAACGGACAAUCACCUCCUAUCAAAUCCAUAAUUUGAAGAUUGACUAAGUCACCUACUUUGCAUUCAGAUGUUGAUAAUUAUCAAGCCAGCCUAGGUUAAAACAAGUUUUUUACCUUUUACAAAUAUAUUUUUUUAAGAAUUGUGUAUCUUGGGGACAAAACAUUAUAAUAAGGUUAAUGAGAAAAGGAGCAACACAAAUCUGUUUUCAUUAAUCUUAACAGAGCUUUAAUCACAGCACAGGGGGAAACAGCUGCUCUGGAAGGGAGACUAGGAGCAGAUCAGUAGAAGCUGAUUAUCCAUUAAUGAGAGGGCUUUGGUGGGGAGCCCUGUGGAAAACCCACCAGACUCAAUCCUGCCAGCCAUUUGCUGAAGAGGUGGUGUAUAUGAAUCGCUUGUUUGAUGUAAAAAAUUCAAAACAGAUUCUUCUCAGCAGCCUGGGGACUGUCAUACAUCACUGAUCUCUUAUCUGUUUAUGUUAAGGAAAUAGCAUCCUUCAGUAAGUAAAUGUGUGUGGUAUUUAAUUAAACUCAUUGCUGAGCUCUGUGUGUGUGUGGCUAGUCCUCAUUUGGGGAUUAUCGGACUGUUGCAUUUUGCCUUUUUUCUCAUUUUUUCCUUCUUCUAGCAUUUCUUCCUCCAGCUCAGAAUUGCAGGAGCUUUAUGUUAUAUGGAGUAUCAUGGGAAGUACUUUAGCAUUUUUUUUAUUGCACACAUUAUUUAGAAAAGGAAACUGAGGCUCAGAGAGCUGAAGUCACUUGUCCAAUGUCCUCUAGCUUAAAGAAUUAUAUUAUUUAAACCUAGGUUCUGGGUGGUUUCAUAGCCUAAGCUUGUAACCACUUAUGCAAUAUGUGUAUAAAGUAAAAACUAACUAUGGUAUAUUGCGGUGGUUCUCAGAGUUAGUCCCCAGACCAGCAGCAUCAGCAUUGCCUGGGGACUUGUUAGAAAUACAAAUUGUUGGGCCCUGCCACAGAUCUAUCAGAAACUUAGGAAUGCAGCCUGGGAAGCCCUCUGAGUGAUUCAAAUGGAUGCUAAAGCUUGAGAGCCAUUGGUAUUUAGUUGGUAUGCUAGGUACUAAGAAUUUAGAAAGACAAAAAAAAAAUCGGUUCUUUGAUUUUGGGGAGUUCAGAGUCUAGUAGAGAAGACUAAAAUAUAAAGACAAUUAUAAUAAUAUUUUAUUAGUGUAUUAUAAGUGCAGUGAGAUAGUAUACACAAAAAAAUAGGAAAGUGCGGAUUAAGAUACUAACCUGGGUGGGAAGUGAAAGCUUAUUGGAAAAUGUGAUGCUUAAACUGAAUCUUAAAGCAUGAGAAGUCUCUGGCUGCAGUGACAGGAGAAAGUAUUUUAGGCAGGGGGACAGCAUAAACAGAAGAUGAAAUGAACAUGAAUACUGUCUAUGAAACAGCAGUCACUUUGGGGAUGCUGGAGUAGGAAGUAUAAUGAAGGAAGCAGUGAUGAGUUCAUGUGGCGGACAGUGAGCUGCCCUCUGUCACUCUGCAAUUUGACCCCCACCUGCUGAAGCUCAGGAGUUUGGCUUCUUGAAGCCCUGGCUUGGAUAUUUUACAGUCAUUUGUCAAUUUAUGGCAUUUACAACUGCCUUGUGGUUCCAGAUGAGGGGCACCACAUAUCACAAAGGCUUGUUCUUCAUGAUCUAUUGAGCACCCAGUAAUUCAUGCACGUUAUUUAUACCACUCACUCAUUUCUCCUUCUUUCUCAUGAAGUCGUCCAUGCCAUUAACAUUAGCUAGCAGACAUCAAGCUGCCUAGUGGAUAAAAUGUUGUUUGACAAGGGCUCAGUGGCUAGGGAUGUAACUCAUAGUUUUUAUCAUAAAUUUCAACUCAAUUAUUUGUUUUCCCAGGUAAUCUAUCAGUGAAUAAUAUACCCACAUCACAGGACUUUGGCCUGUGAAUUUGGUCUGUUUUCCAGACCAGUAUUUUAGCAUGGGCAUGGGUGACAUUUGAGCACUUAAAAUAAAAUAAUGCAGCUACAUUCUCUCUGGCAUGGUGGAAUGAACAUGGAAUUGGGAAUAAGAGAGACCAGGUUUCUAGCCCCAACUCUGUACUUUACAACUGUGUCCACUAAAUGACAUUGGAAGGCCUAUUUGUUAAUCCUGUGAAGCUUCAUUUUUUAAAAAUCUGCAUUGGCUCUCCAAAAUGUGCCUGGAAGUUGCUGCAAUUCUCAGAAUGUCUGAGAAGCUCCCCAACAGUCUUAGUCUGCAGCCAUGAGGCAAAUAAUUCUCAGCAAUUUUCUAGGAAGCUGCUUUGAUACUCACAUGUGCAUGUUCAUCUGGCAGCCACCACCUCCAGAGAAUAAAGCUUCCGAUUUACUUCCACUUUCCAGACUCCACAGAUGUUCCUCUCCUUGGCAAAAUGUAGCCCAGAUCUAAAUGGAAGGUGAUUCUGAGACAUGUAGUUGGCAACCUUAGCAGGACAUGGUGGUGCCACCCGGUUGAUAACAGACAUCUCAGCCCACUUUCCACUACACAGGAGCCAAAUGAUCUUCUUUAAAUCCCAAAACAGAGUAUUUCACAACCAGGCUUCAAAUGACUCAGUGGCUUCCCAUUUCUCUUAGAAUAAAACCCAAAUUCAUCCGGAUGGCCUGAAAAGCUUGUCCAGCCGAUCUCUUCAAUUUCAUCUAAUUCUAGCUUUCCCUUUCAUCAUUAUGUACAGCCAAACUGACUUUUAUUCCUUUUUUUUAACAUGCCAAACAUUUUACCACCUCAAAAUUCUUAUAGUUACUGUUCCUUCUGUUUAGAAUAUCUUCCACCUUGAUUUUUCUUAUCCUUUUAUCUCAACACUCUAAAGAGUCCUCCCCCAGUUUCUUUUUGUCGCCCCUUUUGUUUUCUUCAGUGGAUUUAUUGCAAUCUGCUCUUUUUGUGUGUUUAGUUAUUAUCUGUCACACUCACUGGAAUAUAAGCUCAGUGAAAGCUGGUACUAUAUUUAUCAAUUGCCCCCCUAGUUCUCUGUCUUGGCUUAGUUACCAAUUUUCCUCUUGGAACAUAGAUCAUCAUAGGCUGAAUUUGCUGCUUCAAAUAAUCAGAGGGCAUCAGUUUUUUUAGUGCUCAAGAUCCUAUAGUUAUUGUACCAGCCUUAAUGAAAGUACAAAGGAGAUAAGGGCAAGACGUGCUCUUUGCAAUGCUUAAACAGUUUUAGUAUAUCUCAAGCAAAGAAUCCUAAUAAAUCCAAAAUUCGACAGCUUUUUACUGUUGGUGUUCUACAACCUCUCUUUCCUCUCACUACCUGGAAUAGUCAGAAAUCUCAUGUUAAUUUAUGAACCCUGAUGUCAUCAUCAGGACUGGACUGUGGACUGAAAGAAGAUAAAUACCAAUAAUAAUUACCAAAUGUUGGAUAACUAUCAUAUGCCAACAAUAUGAUAAAUUAUUUAUGAACCUCACAAUAUUGCAUGGAAAAUAAUUAUCUCACUUUUCCAAAUUAUUUUUGUAAUUUUUCUAAUUUUUAAAAUAAUUUUCUAAUAAUUUUUAAAAAUUAUUUUUAUAAAAAUUAAGAACUUGACCAAAGUCACAGAGGUUAUUUGAGGUUAAACUAGGGUUUAAAUCUUGGUCAGUUUGGUUCUAACGCCCAAAUUUACUUCCCUGUUUCUGCCGUAUUCUAGGUCUCUUUUGAUUUUAUAAUACGUUGUGUUCGUGAUAGCAUUAUUUAUCUCACCCUGUAUUCACACUCUUUGUCGUUUUACUCUGGGUUAAGCUGUAAGACUGCUGUUUAGACUGGCUUUGGCCAAUAGAAUGAGGUAGGAGUUCUAGAUCUGAGCCUGGUCCUCACAUGAGUAUGCUCACCCUCUUAUUUGUCUGCCUAGACUAGUUCUUUGGUUUAGGAGAGAAUGAGAGACACAUCAAUGCAGAGCCAUCCUCAACUAGACCCAGCCAUGCUUCUCCAACCCCCCAAAAGGCUAUACUCAUGUGAGAGCUCAUCCAAGUACAGCAGUACAGCCCAGUUGAGCCCAAACAAGAUCAAUGAAGCCUCAGGAAACCAAACACAGUCAAUAAGCCCAACCAAGGUCAGCAGAACAGUCUAGCUGAGCCCAGCCUGGAUAAGCCAAUUCCUAGCUGACUCAUACGCUCAAAAAAAUGAUAAAUGAUUGCCAUUUUAACCAUGGUAUGCCGGGGUUGUUUCUUUCACAGUAAUAACAAAUUGAUACAGACACUAAUUAGCUCUGCAAAUGUGCUUAAAAAUAAUGCUUACAACCAUUUAAUAAGACUUUAUGUAUGAGACACAGUGCAGAACACUUUACAUUCAUUAUCCCUUUAGAUCUUAUUCAAAACCUCUCUGAGGGUUUCACAGAUGAGAAAAAUUAGAUGAAUAGAAAUGAAAUAACUUAGUCAAGUUUACACAGCUUGUUUAAGUGGCAGAGUUGGAAUUUAAACCUAAGUCUAUCUGGCUCUGAAGUUGUUCUUUUUUUGUUUUACCAGGUUGACUUUAUUCAUAAUCUAGACUUCACAUAGAAAAUAAUCAGCUGUGUGAAUAUGACUGAGUUCUCUGGGUCCAUUUUCUUCAACUACAAACUAGAGGGAACUAAAUAUCUUUUUUUCUUCUUACCUUCUUUGGUUCUAUGUUCCUACAUACAAAAGUUAUUUGAGGGCAGUUGGAGUUAAAGCAUGUAUGCAGUUUGAUGAUAAUGAUGAUGACGAUGACAAUGACAACAUAUAUCACAGAGAUGAAAGCAUGGACAUACUUUUUCCAAGAAAGAGAACUAAGACAAUUGUUGCAAGUGAGUGUAAAAAUUAACUCUGAAAACUUAUAUGUAAAACAGAGGAAUAAAUCUGGGCCACAAAAUCUUCCUUUCUAAUGCAAUAAACAACAACAACAACAGCAACAAAAAAGUGUCAGCCAAGAAUAUCAAAUUUAUCAAAUAAGCAAGAAACUAGAUAUAACGUGGGGCUUCAAAGAGCGGAUUUCAAGAUCUCAGCAGAGGCACAUGCCUUUGUGCACUCUUCUGCCCUCUCUCCUAUCUCUAUAUGCAACACAUAUACAAAGGACAUCUCUCUCUAUAUAUCUAUAUCUCAUACACAUAAACUAUCAUAUAUGUGCCAUUAUAUGUAUAUAUAUUCACAUACAUAUUCCAUAUAAAAUAUGGAUUCAAUAAUUAAGAGUUAAAAUAUGACUAAAUAAGAGAAUAAUAUGAAAAAGGAGAUAGAUGACAAAAUAAUACCAUUGUAGAACUAAUAUGUAAAUUAGGAACAACAAGAAACAGAUGAGACAUAUCAGGAAAUUGAAAUUAGUUACAAAAGAAAGCUUCGUGGUAUCAUAGGAAUUGUCAAUAAAGGGCUCUUAAAAAAUAAAAAGUUCUUAGAGACUUGACAAUACAUAGUGUGGUUACAUCGAACAGAACUGCAGCCACCCAGGCAUAAAGGGAAAUUUGCUUAUAAGGAGGAAAAUCAAAUUUACCUCAAUGUUCUCUGUAGCACCAAUUAUGCCAGAAGACAAUUGAGCCAAGUUUGCAUAAUUCUAAAAGAAAAUUAAACACAGUGUAAAAGUAUAUCAAAUACAAAGUCACAGGGAGAUAUUCUUGAACAAGAGCCCUUCUUAGCAAAAAUAAUUGAUGAAAUCCUGUAAACCAAAAAGGCAUUGUGAAGAGAACUAGCAAAGUAGUAAAGAAAUAUGUGUAAGCAGUUCAGAAAUACUUUUGCUGCCAGUGCAAUUCCUUUAUCUUUUGAUAAGUUAGAAAAAGUAUUUUAAAUAAUAUGAAAUAUAGUCCAUAACAGAAAUAUUUUAAGGCAUACAGAUUAUAAGAUAGUUAUAUAAUUUUUAUUCUCAUGGCUAUAUUAAGAUAGAUAUCUUGAAUACUAUGUAAUGUUAAUUAUUAAUAUUUAUAGAGGUGGUUUUAGAUGAUUUUAUUAACUUGUUAUUUGUUGCUAUUUCUUGAUUUUUGAAAAUAUGUACAUGUAAAUAUAUAGUUAAUUCAUCAUUAUUAUAUUUAAAGAGCAGAAGAAAAAAAUUAGAUCUUAAUGUGCACAUGUACCCUAAAACUUAAAGUAUAAUAAUAAAAAAAAAUUAGAUCUUAACUUACUAUAAGUAAGCUAUAAGUAAGAGAUGGUAGAGAUGGAGAAAUAGAAAAAGCAAUAAAGAAAACUUUCUGUUAGUGUGGCAUGGUAAAAGGAGCGUUCUCCUUCUAUGAGCAUCUGUUACCUAGUAGAUAUUAGGAAAAUCUGAUUUUCCUCCUUAUAAGCAACUUUCUCUUUAUACCUGGGUGCCUAGCAGGUCUGUUGCAGGUAACCACACUAUUGCCAAGUCUCGAAGAAUUUCUCUCUUAUUAUUGAUCAUCACUAUGAUAUCACAAAGCUUUCUUUUGUAACUAAUUUCAACUGGGUCUCUUGCUUUACUCUCUAUAACUUAGUUCCAUCAUCUACAUGGGUGGGGAUAUGUUGUUACCUCAGAGUUGGCUGUAGUAAUGAAAUGAAACAAUGUAUGUGAUAAGGUCAAAACAAUUUUAUGAAUAUGUUCACUUCUCUUCUCUCCUUCCCCUGACAAGCAGGAGUGUUCUGAUUUUCCAAGACAAAUCUUGGAUUAAAGGAUAGUUAAUGGAGAAUACAGUGAAGAGAAAAUGGAAAAUAGCAGGGAGUACAGACCGCCCUUGGUAGUGGAAUUGGUUACAUGUGUUUCAUUUGUUUAGGAAAAAAUGUGUCCAAAUUACUGUCUGCAGUUGUAACCUCCCAGUUCCCAUUCAUGUGGUUCUAGGGUGGGGCUGAAAUCUGGACUUGGGAGGUGGCACAUAUCUGCUUGUCCACGGUGAUUCAGAAAUAAACAAGUGGCAUAAGUCAGAUGGAACAGAGAGAUUCCAGGGUCUUUGAAGGGCCUGAGGAAGACGAUCUUUCUCUUCUGAAUCUGAAUCUAAGACACUGAAGCCUGGAACCACUCACCUCUGCAUCUUGCCAAUCAAAGAGAGAAGCCUCCUGAGAGUGGAACCAACACAAAGCCAAUAUCAGGAGGAAACAAUUCAACCCAUUGGAUCCAGCAGGGCUCAACUUUGUGUUACUGAGCUAAUUAAUCCCCUUUUAUUUGCAAGAGGAAGAGUUGGUUUAGCUAUUUGCAAUGCAAAGAGUCCUAAUUGAACAGAUGGGAUUGUUUCUCUUUGUCUUUACAUUUGUUUGUGUAUUUGUUUUUGUUUGCUUGUUUAGUACAGGUAUGGAAGUAACUACAGUGUGUGAGACCACAGAUGAGAUAAAAAGAAUAUUGAGAAAUAUUUCUGGACACUAUUGGUUUCCAGCGUGGAACCUGCCUGAUGAACUUCAAGAAAUAUAAGCAGAUGACUAACAUUAUUUUAAAAUUAGCUUUAGUGGUAUGAAUUUUACUUUUUUCUCCACUUUUUAGUACUCUAGGACUAAGAGCCAUUGUUUGUGAUUUUAUUGCUAAAACAUUGAAAACACCAUUUUAAGGGCUUUGCUCAUACCAUUCUCUUAUUUGGGAAAGUCAUAACUCUUUCCCUGCCUUCCCUGCUGCACAAGCUCCCUUUGUUCAGACUAUGCUCCUACCCAGGCUCCAGUACCACUCAGUUCCAGCAUUUCCCCAUCCAUUAAUGCCAACCUUUAGUUCACCAAAUGGGCUCCCCUGCAUGUCCGUGGCAACCACUUCUUACGUCUCUCAAUACAUUUGCCACUUGGUGAUACAAUAGUCUCCCACUAGGCUAUAAGCUCUUUGAAGACAGGAAUUCACCACAUCAUAUUUCUGUUUUUAGUACUUAUCACAGACCUGGCCUAUGGUAGGUGCAUGGGAAAUCUUCUUUUAACCUCCUUUCUCCCCUCAAAUUCACUCUCCCUAUUUACCUAUGCUAUCUUGUUUAUUGAUGGCAUCACCUCUUGCCCUGUGGUUCACACUCAGGUUUGGCUAAUGGGAAGCAGGAGAUAAAAGGGAGAGAAAGUGAGGUUGAGAUGUUUUUCUGUUGACUUUUUCUACCAACCCACCGUGGGUUGGUAGAAACUCUCUACUUGAGGCUAAUAAUGUGAUGUAUCUAUCGCCCACCAGGUUACUUAAGGGGUGUAUGUCUGCUGCCUAAACCCUAAAGGCUGGGUGCUGAACCAAGGCCCUGGUGCCCAGUGGAGGAGCAGGUAUCCCUGAGAACCCAAACAUUUGGAGAGUGUCUAAGAAUCUACCAAGAAAACUAGUCUCAUUGCUCAAACACAGUAGACAAAGAGCGAGAAAAGUAGCUUAAAAACAGUUUAGAGACAGAAGUAGUGCAGAUCUCUAGAGCUGUCCUGCUGUAGUCCAGGAGUACCCUGUAUGUAAGUUUUAAUAAACUCAUCUACUUGUCAAGCUGGACUUGUCUGAGUCAUUCUUAGGUCUCUCAGCACCUUCCCAGUUUGGGGGUGGGGGACAUUACAGUCCCAAGUCUUUCUUGUAACAAUUGGUGUCAUGAAUAGGAUCCAAGGAACCAAACGAUGAGUCAGGAAGGAGUGUGUGCAUGGGAAAUCCGGGGUGGUUUGCAACAUGCACCAAGGGUGGAGUUGCCUGACUGCUCAACCUCUGUGGGCCACCACGUGAGUACAAAGAUGCUCAGAAAACUUUGGCAGGGACUGAGCACAUACUGUAAGAAGCUAAGAUAUUAAAGUAUGGUAAGGACAGCAAAUAUGCUGUUGUUGCAAUAAAACUGGCUCUCAAAAAUUGUUACAGCAGGAAAGGGAGAAAGGGUAGAAACUCCUGCGAAAGUUCAAAGGCAUGCCAGGUUUUCUAGAACUCCAGCUGGUUAUAUAUUAUGGCCUAUUCUUGUGCAAAUUUAAAAACUGAUGGGGCCAGGCAAGGUGGCUCACUCCUGUAAUCCCAGCACUUUGGGAGGCCGAGGCAGGCGGAUCACUUGAGGUCAGGAGUUGAGAACAGCCUCACCAACAUGGUGAAACCCCAUCUCUACUAAGAAUACAAAAAUUAGCUGGGUGUGGUGGCACACGCCUAUAGUCCCAGCUACUAGGGGGGAGGCUGAGGCAUGAGAAAUGCUUGAACUCGGUAGGUGGAGGUUGCAGUGAGCUGAGAUUGCGCCACUGCACUCCAGCCUGGUGACAGAGCAAGACUCCAUUUCAAAAACAAACAAAUAAACAAACAAACAAAAACUGAUGGAAAAUUAUGACAAAGAAUUUCAGAGCUCAAAUGGUUAAUCUGCAGCUACAGCAUUAAGGAGAGUCUUUUAAAUGUCUCUAUUUCUCUUUCCUCUUCUACCUGCUUUGAAUCUGCUGUUACUAAGCUACCAAUGUUGAGAUAAAACUCACUAAUUGAAAGAUACUUGGAGAUUUUGUUUUUCUUAUAUUGUUCAACCAGUUGUAGCUAAAAUGUAAACAGUAAAAGCUCAUUUGAAACUGAAAAGGGGGUAAAAGAGGUUUUUUAAAAAUAAAACUGUUAUAGAAACUGUUUACCCAAAGUUUUGGUCCACAACCUUCCUUGGAUUGCCUAUUAGGGAAAAGUUUAGCCAUGUGAAUAGGUCCCAGUUUUGUCAAAUAUAAUUUGGAUCCAGCUGUCUGUUGUAAAAUAAUGAGAUUUGAUGCUGUCUCAUGGAUAAAGUUCUGAAGUAAAGCUAUUGGAUCUUUGUGUGUGCUUAUACAUGUUUAAAUGUGUUUAUAUACAUGUACAUGUACAUGUAGUGUUAUAUAUUGUGUCCAGCAUGCUACCAAAUUGGCUCAUAAGGAAAUGAGUACUUAUAAAUGAAAUAAGUCUGAAUGCUUUUUAGGUCCACAUGAAUUUAAUAAUUGUUAAUAAAUAAGCUAGCUUUGAAAUUAUUGGUAAGAUAAAAAGAAAAAUGUCUUCAAAAGUGUCAGACACAUUUUUGCCUGGGUUUACUCAUUAGAUAAGUUUUCUAUUUGCUUCUGCUAGAUAUUUUAAGGUGUCAGGGUUUGACAUAAAGUUGGUAAGACCCUAAACCCAGCCCUAGCCUGAAUGAUCUUUGUGUGAUUUUUUAAUAAGCAAGACUAAUUUGAUAUUGUUGGUUUAAUAAAAAUAGCUACAUUGUCUGAGUUAUUGGCAAAACACAUGUCCACGUGUUUAGCUUUAAGGUUCUUGCUUAGAUGAAUAUCUAAUAUUUACAGUCUAUAAAAAUAAUUAAUAAAA